This 311-nucleotide ribosomal RNA is filed under the name uncultured bacterium. RNAcentral's name for it is "bacterial SSU rRNA". It matches the Rfam family "Bacterial small subunit ribosomal RNA", at positions 28 to 334 of the family's 1533-position model. The record is from RNAcentral.
GACGAACGCUGGCGGCGUGCUUAACACAUGCAAGUCGAACGAAGAGCGAUGGAAGCUUGCUUCUAUCAAUCUUAGUGGCGAACGGGUGAGUAACGCGUAAUCAACCUGCCCCUCAGAGGGGGACAACAGUUGGAAACGACUGCUAAUACCGCAUACGUCCUACGGGAGAAAGCGGGGGAUCUUCGGACCUCGCGCUACCAGAUGAGCCUAGGUCGGAUUAGCUAGUUGGUGAGGUAAAGGCUCACCAAGGCGACGAUCCGUAGCUGGUCUGAGAGGAUGAUCAGCCACACUGGAACUGAGACACGGUCCAG